UUCAGAAACAGCUUGAUGAUGUCAAAGGAUGGAAAAACCCAGUUAUCCUCUGAGCAGCUGAUUCCAUCCCAAACAUGGAGACCCUGAGGAGGUUGUUUCGUUUCUGCUGAACCAAGGCCAUUUUUGCAAGGAACACGCAUCUCUGUGUCUGCAGAAUCUUGGAUCCUUUUGGGAAAGCCGUGCUCUGGGCCAGCAGUGAAGGAGAGAGAGCUAUGUACACACAGCUGAAGAUGACUUUAGCACAGAGUUUAUUUAAUAUAUCCUCCAAAUUGUAUUUUGAAGCAUCUGUUAAUAAGAAAGCACUCUCUUUUUGAGCAGGGCGAGUGUUUUAUAAAUGGAAUUUGCAGACCAGCAACACUCCCAUUAAUUUUCCCUGUCUACAAUUACUAUCAUUACAUUCUUAAAGCACUUUUAAAAUAAACUACUCCAUGAUGUCA
This is a long non-coding RNA of Peromyscus eremicus (cactus mouse), 437 nucleotides long. RefSeq lists it as uncharacterized. The transcript has 2 exons. NCBI's taxonomy places the organism in Eukaryota, Metazoa, Chordata, Mammalia, Rodentia, Cricetidae. The record is from RefSeq and is a predicted model, not a curated record.